Scylla paramamosain (green mud crab) is the source of this 1050-nucleotide long non-coding RNA. RefSeq lists it as uncharacterized. The record is from RefSeq and is a predicted model, not a curated record. The transcript is spliced from 3 exons. Lineage: Eukaryota; Metazoa; Arthropoda; Malacostraca; Decapoda; Portunidae.
CCACUACAUAUGGUAACACUGGAUGAGGUACAGUGCCUUGCGUCUGCACCAAAACAAUGUUGUGUGUGAUCGUGCGUUGUGGGUAUUUGUGCAGGUUUCCGUAUAUUGGUUAAGUGUGUGUCCAUGGCGAUGUCUCGAAGGGUGAGGAAGAGGUUACGGAAGUCGCGAAAACUUAGCAUAUGUGUCAGCUCUUGGCGGAACGAAGGAAAAAAUGACAAUGUUGUGGAGGUGACCUGUGGCCACAGCGUCUUUCUCCACCUCCACAGAUUUCCACUUUUCCCUUCCGUUAUUUUUGCCUCUUCCUCUCUAGCACCUCAACCUCCACGCAAUUAAAUACUUGAUAGUCAAACUGAGACGUGAUAAGCACCGCAGAGAAGUGUAAGAAAAUGAUCAGGUGGUUCGCAUAACGACCUGUUACGAUCACGUGACUGACCCCUCUCUUUAGUGUGUUUAAAUGUACUGAGAACAAACCACAAAAAAGCAUGACGAAGUGUGCGGAUGGUUUUGUCGCUAGGAAUUAUUCCUGAAGAAAAAGAAAACGACAGAGGGUUAAAAACCACCGCACAUUAAACCCAGACAAGCAGUAUUAUAAUAGUACAUAACCACCACUCGCCUGACUCCUGCCUGACAUCCCAUGCGCAGGAGCGGCACGCUGCCAUCACACACGGACACUAAGGCGAAGAGGCGAGGAGCAAUACAGGAAGACAGGCUGGCAGGCAGACUGGGUGACUUCAGAGUAUUGUAGACGUGAUGGAAGAAACCACAGCCAACGGGACGUGGAUCAUGCAGACUGACUGUGUUCGGUGCCCUCCGCGGGACAACUCGCUGGAGAAUGAGGAGCAGGAUGAAUGUUAACAGAGUACGACUAUAAUAGUAAUAAGAUUAACGGCUGUCCAGUGAACGACCUGCCCUGAAGACCUACUGGAAUCACAACAUGUACCUUCAUACAUUCUAUGACUGGGCUGCUUCAUCGCUCGUCUCACUGUGUCUUCUGAUAAUUUACUUACCAAUCCUCUCUUCCUUUUCCUUCAACAAGAGUAGCGUUUUUUU